AAGGAAGUGAAGAAAAGUUCUAAGUUACUCUGCUUAGUGCUUACAAACUAUUUGGUUUAAUUGGUCAAACGCCAAGUUGUUCGCGAGACAUAUAAAAGUACGCUAAAACAGAUGAAAAGCAUGUGUGAAAGACGCGUUUUAUUUAGAACUUGUGUCUCGCGGACUCACUCAUGCUUUCAUUGACAGUACUGAUGGACUGAUACACCUUCAUUUAAGCGACUUUUAAGCGGAAAAUUGCCACAGCUCUGACAGCAGACACGAUGAAGAUGAUUACAUUCUUCAUCGUGGGACUCAUUGUACAUGUAGUCUUCUUUCUCUCAAUAUUUGACAUCUAUUUCACAUCCCCUCUCGUCCAUGGAAUGACACCACAUAGUGUCCCUCUGGCCCCUCCGGCCUGAUGGUUUCCAUAAAAUGCAGUUUGAUUCUGUUUUUAAUGAGACCAGGUAUUCCUGGUGUUGGGGUAGCCCUGAUAUAUUACCGAUGUUUGCUAAAGGUAUAACCACACACCUGUGAAUAAACAGUAUAGUGACAUUAUUUGGUAGCUUUACCAGCAUGUGUGUUUUAUAGGAGCCACUGGAGAACAUGUGUACACUCACACUUACCCUCCAGAGCGGGAGGACUUUGCCUCCACUGAUGCUUCCAGACUUGAUACAUGGGUAUUUGAUGAAGUGAAGGGAAUAUCUAGAGAACACUGGCCUGGUUGAUGCUGGUGUUGCUGAAAUUGUCACUAUGAUGGACGACUUUUAUGGGCAUGAUAGAAAAACGGCUUAUGUUUUUACAUCCGACCAUGGAAUGACAAAUUGGGGAUCUCACGGUGCGGGACAUCCAUCAAACGCUGACCCACUGGUAUCUUGAGGCACUGGUGUCCAGACACGCAAUGGGAGAGCUCUCACAAAUAUGAUGAUAAUUAUUUAAAAGAAUGGGGGUUGGAUACUUCCAGGAGAGUGGAUGUCAAUCAGGUAACCGAAAGGAAACUGGGACAGAUGUUUCUGUGUACAGAUCUGCUUAUGGCUCUGUUCUUCUUGGUUCAGUCCAGUCCUUGGACCUACUACAUCUACUGCUUGCUCCCUCUGCCUGUGUGGUUCUCUGUCAUGAGGAAGUAAGUUACUCGUCCCAGUUUUUAUUAAAGUAUUAUUUUGACAUUUUCUAUAGAUUACAUUUAACAGUUUUAUUAAAUGAUUACUUAAAUGUAACAAUAUAUGAUUAUUGAGCAUGCACAAGUAAAGGAAUUGUUCACCCAAAAAUGCAAAUUCUGUCAUUAAUUACUCAUCCUCAUGUUGUUCCAAACCCGUAAGACACAGGCCCAACAAUGUGCAAAGGUAUUCACAUGACCAAGGACAAAUAGGAAAAUAAUUUCACAAAAAUGCUUAGAAAAUCUGUAUUUAUUAAUCAUAUUUUCAAAUGUAUUAAUACAUUUUAUACCAAGUCUGUUUUUUCCUCCUCAUUUGAUUUUUGGAGUUUUUGUGUGUUUUCUCUUUGUCACAGAUUUGAAACUCUUGCCGGACUUGUUUGAGCAAUCCCCUCAUUACCACUCAGCAAAUGCUUUGGAUAUUUUUUGCUAGUUACUUUUGGAAUUGAAUUACUUUUCAGUUCAUUGAGCUGGAUUUUGAGCUGUCUCUUUCUGGCUGUGUUUCCACUGUUGCCUGUGGUGGGACAGGAACCAGACAUUAACUGUGUCAGAAUGGCGUCAGGAAGGUUUAUCUUCUAAAUUGAAUGGAGACGCUCUCCUCUGUUCCGAAGGGAUCGUCAGCUGAUCAUCUGCCAGGUCAUUUUUGACUCUUUCUCUGUGUCCAUUUUCAUUUGCAUGUUCUGUGGUUUCGGUUAGUGGUCCCAUGGAAUGCAGCUGUAGUAAGGGUUUCAUUUUGAUUUUGUUUUUAAAUUAUUUACUUAUUUUUAUGAUUUAAUUUAUUAUUAGCCUGCAGUUUCCUCAUGAACCCCCAAAGAGAUCUGCAAAUUCCAGUUGAGAAGCCCUGUGUUUAAAAAUAGUGAUCCAGGGUACAGUUCUGUAAAGAGUAGGUUCAGGCGAGUUAGAGAAAUUCAGUAUAUGACAUGAAAACCAUUUAAAUAAGGCAAAAGUAAGGGAGAAUAGAAGGGGCUAUAAAGUAAAUACACUAGGAAGUAAUGACCAAAAUGCAAAUGGAAAAUACACAUAGUAAUAGGGUAUCCGCUAUUGACUGAGUAUAAUUUGCCUUUUAUAGUAUAUACUGCAUUUCCUGUUGCUGAUUAUCUCUGAAAUUUUAUGAUAUCUCUUGCAACAGCAGCAGACAGAAACAAGCAACAUUUUGUAUGUGUUUAGCUAGUAAAACCAAAUAGUAAAAAUCAAAACAGAACUUUUUUUUGUACACAAGACACAUUACUGUUACUCUACUGCAAACUAUUUCAGAAUCAAAUUAUUUUAACCUAUUUUAAAUAGUAGAUACAAAAUCAAAAAAGAUUUGAUCUCUAGUAGGCUAUUCCUUUCACACUUGCAUUUAGCCUAAAUGUAGCCUACUGUGAGAUUGGAAAUGUAUUGUCUUGCCCCAAAAUACAUUUUGGUUUAUAUUUUGGUUUAUAUUUUAUUUAUAUAUUUUUUAAAAAUAUAUUUUGGACAACUUUUUAUUUAUUUAUUUCCAUAUGGGCUAAAUGGGCAUUACAUCUAAAUUUAACCUACUUUAAACUCCUCCGGGAAUCUUAUUUGUGUACAUUUGUUUGCAGAUGAUGCAGGUGAUGCUGUGUGCUUACACCCUGACCAGCACACACCCAAGUCUGCAGCUGAAGCAAGGCUUGCCUCUCUUUAACUAGCUUGUUAGCUUGCUCACACUAGGUUUGCCAUCUCCAUUCCCAUGAUGCUUUAUUACCAAUUUUAGACUGUAAAGGGAUAGUUUGCCCAAAAAUUACACUUCUGUCAUUGUUUACUCAUCCUCAUGUCAUUUCAAAUCUGUAUGGUUUUCUGUCUUCUGUGGAACACUCAUAAAGUCAUAAAGAUUUAAAAUGACAUGAGGGUGACAAAAUGGUGAGAUGAACCCUUGAUGCAUGACUGCUAACCAGUGAAUUGCACUUCUUCUUUUCAUCCGUCCUGUUCAUACUUUAACCCUUGCUCUCUAACACUUUGUUUUUUAGUUUCCUCAUUUUUGAUAACGUUGUUAAGUUCCACCAGGCUCUUCUCACACACUUCUGAGUAUCCUGAUGUCCUUAGUUUGUGUCUACCUCCUCCUGAGCACAGGGUAAAAGCCACUAACCAUUAAUCUAACGCCAUCUAAUCAUUCAUUUUUAUGUGUCUGUGCUAGGUUUAACAGUACUUCAGCACAUGUUAGAUUUAGUCAAAUUCUCCUCUUGAGGUUGCCUGUCUAAGGAAAUGGAAUUAAAAAAAAAACCACAUAGUGCUUACAGCAAGCUGUUAAGUUGCAGAAGUUUUUAGUUUAGCCACUGACUGGUUUGAGACCGUUUCAGUUAUACAGAGAAUAUUAUAACGAAUAAUUAAUAAUCUAAUUAAAUAAUAACACUACCAUUCAAAAGUUUGGGGUUGGUUAUUUUUUAAGGAGGUCUUACAUGCCCACCAAUGGCUGUUUUUAUUUUUAAUGCAGUAAAUAGUUCAUAAUAUGAAAUAUUACAAACCUGAUUCCAAAAAAGUUGGGACACUGUACAAAUUGUUAGUAAAAAAGGAAUGGAAUAAUUUACAAAUCUCAUAAACUUAUAUUUUAUUCACAAUAGAAUAUAGAUAACAUAUCAAAUGUUGAAAGUGAGACAUUUUAAAAUGUCAUGCCAAAUAAUGGCUCAUUUUGGAUUUCAUGAGAGCUACACAUUCCAAAAAAGUUGGGACAGGUGGCAAUAAGAGGCCGGAAAAGUUAAAUGUACAUAUAAGGAACAGCUGGAGGACCAAUUUGCAACUUCUUAGGUCAAUUGACAACAUGAUUGGGUAUAAAAGAGCCUCUCAGAGUGGCAGUGUCUCUCAGAAGUCAAGAUGGGCAGAGGAUCACCAAUUCCCCCAAUGCUGCGGCGAAAAAUAGUGGAGCAAUAUCAGAAAGGAGUUUCUCAGAGAAAAAUAGCAAAGAGUUUGAAGUUAUCAUCAUCUACAGUGCAUAAUAUCAUCCAAAGAUUCAGAGAAUCUGGAAUAAUCUCUGUGCGUAAGGGUCAAGGCCGGAAAACCAUACUGGAUGCCCGUGAUCUUCGGGCCCUUAGACAGCACUGCAUCACAUACAGGAAUGCUACAGUAAUGGAAAUCACAACAUGGGCUCAGGAAUACUUCCAGAAAGCAUUAUCGGUGAACACAAUACACCGUGCCAUUCACCGUUGCCAGCUAAAACUCUAUAGGUCAAAAAAGAAGCCAUAUCUAAACAUGAUCCAGAAGCGCAGGCGUUUUCUCUGGGCCAAGGCUCAUUUAAAAUGGACUGUGGCAAAGUGAAAAACUGUUCUGUGGUCAGACGAAUCAAACUUUGAAGUUCUUUUUGGAAAACUGGGAUGCCAUGUCAUCUGGACUAAAGAGGACAAGGACAACCCAAGUUGUUCUCAGCGCUCAGUUCAGAAGCCUGCAUCUCUGAUGGUAUGGGGUUACAUGAGUGCGUGUGGCAUGGGCAGCUUACACAUCUGGAAAGGCACCAUCAAUGCUGAAAGGUAUAUCCAAGUUCUAGAACAACAUAUGCUCCCAUUCAGACGUCAUCUCUUUCAGGGAAGACCUUGCAUUUUCCAACAUGACAAUGCCAGACCACAUACUGCAUCUAUUACAACAUCAUGGCUGCGUAGAAGAAGGAUCCGGGUACUGAAAUGGCCAGCCUGCAGUCCAGAUCUUUCACCCAAACAUUUGGUGCAUCAUAAAGAGGAAGAUGCGACAAAGAAGACCUAAGACAGUUGAGCAACUAGAAGCCUGUAUUAGACAAGAAUGGGACAACAUUCCUAUUCCUAAACUU
This is a long non-coding RNA of Cyprinus carpio carpio, 4883 nucleotides long. Lineage: Eukaryota; Metazoa; Chordata; Actinopteri; Cypriniformes; Cyprinidae. The record is from Ensembl.